This 250-nucleotide ribosomal RNA is filed under the name Paramoeba aestuarina. RNAcentral's name for it is "partial Eukaryotic large subunit ribosomal RNA". Lineage: Eukaryota; Discosea; Flabellinia; Dactylopodida; Paramoebidae. The record is from RNAcentral.
AAAAUAAGUUGAAGAAACAGAUGAAGAGAAAGGUGAAAAAGAAAGAUGAAAAAAGUGAGGGAUCAAUGUUGAAAAGGAAGACAAAUUUCUUUCCUGAAAGUGAGCAGAUUCUUGCAACUUUUGUCGCUCCCCGAUUCUUCUCUCCUUUCAUCUCUGUCCCGCUUCUUCUUUCCUUCGACUUUCGCCGCCUUUGUUUUUUAUUUGUGUUUUGUUUUUUUGUCCGUGUUUUGUUAUUUGUGGAUUUUUUUUU